RNAcentral lists this ribosomal RNA (1029 nucleotides) under Curtobacterium flaccumfaciens. RNAcentral's name for it is "bacterial SSU rRNA". It matches the Rfam family "Bacterial small subunit ribosomal RNA", at positions 80 to 1122 of the family's 1533-position model. The record is from RNAcentral. Lineage: Bacteria; Bacillati; Actinomycetota; Actinomycetes; Micrococcales; Microbacteriaceae.
UUGCUGGGUGGAUUAGUGGCGAACGGGUGAGUAACACGUGAGUAACCUGCCCCUGACUCUGGGAUAAGCGUUGGAAACGACGUCUAAUACUGGAUAUGAUCACUGGCCGCAUGGUCUGGUGGUGGAAAGAUUUUUUGGUUGGGGAUGGACUCGCGGCCUAUCAGCUUGUUGGUGAGGUAAUGGCUCACCAAGGCGACGACGGGUAGCCGGCCUGAGAGGGUGACCGGCCACACUGGGACUGAGACACGGCCCAGACUCCUACGGGAGGCAGCAGUGGGGAAUAUUGCACAAUGGGCGAAAGCCUGAUGCAGCAACGCCGCGUGAGGGAUGACGGCCUUCGGGUUGUAAACCUCUUUUAGUAGGGAAGAAGCGAAAGUGACGGUACCUGCAGAAAAAGCACCGGCUAACUACGUGCCAGCAGCCGCGGUAAUACGUAGGGUGCAAGCGUUGUCCGGAAUUAUUGGGCGUAAAGAGCUCGUAGGCGGUUUGUCGCGUCUGCUGUGAAAUCCCGAGGCUCAACCUCGGGCUUGCAGUGGGUACGGGCAGACUAGAGUGCGGUAGGGGAGAUUGGAAUUCCUGGUGUAGCGGUGGAAUGCGCAGAUAUCAGGAGGAACACCGAUGGCGAAGGCAGAUCUCUGGGCCGUAACUGACGCUGAGGAGCGAAAGCAUGGGGAGCGAACAGGAUUAGAUACCCUGGUAGUCCAUGCCGUAAACGUUGGGCGCUAGAUGUAGGGACCUUUCCACGGUUUCUGUGUCGUAGCUAACGCAUUAAGCGCCCCGCCUGGGGAGUACGGCCGCAAGGCUAAAACUCAAAGGAAUUGACGGGGGCCCGCACAAGCGGCGGAGCAUGCGGAUUAAUUCGAUGCAACGCGAAGAACCUUACCAAGGCUUGACAUACACCGGAAACGGCCAGAGAUGGUCGCCCCCUUGUGGUCGGUGUACAGGUGGUGCAUGGUUGUCGUCAGCUCGUGUCGUGAGAUGUUGGGUUAAGUCCCGCAACGAGCGCAACCCUCGUUCUAUGUUGCCAGC